This 429-nucleotide ribosomal RNA is filed under the name uncultured bacterium. RNAcentral's name for it is "bacterial SSU rRNA". It matches the Rfam family "Bacterial small subunit ribosomal RNA", at positions 355 to 775 of the family's 1533-position model. The record is from RNAcentral.
UGGGGAAUAUUGGGCAAUGGGCGAAAGCCUGACCCAGCGACGCCGCGUGGGUGAUGAAGGCCUUCGGGUUGUAAAGCCCUGUCAUGCGGAAAGAACGACCCUGAGACGCAUACUCUCAGGGAGUGACGGUACCGCAGGAGGAAGCACCGGCUAACUCCGUGCCAGCAGCCGCGGUAAUACGGAGGGUGCAAGCGUUGUUCGGAAUUAUUGGGCGUAAAGGGCGCGUAGGCGGUAAUGUAAGUCAGAUGUGAAAUACUCCGGCUCAACCAGAGAACAGCAUCUGAAACUGCAUAACUAGAGUACAGAAGAGGGAAGCGGAAUUCCCGGUGUAGAGGUGAAAUUCGUAGAUAUCGGGAGGAACACCAGUGGCGAAGGCGGUUUCCUGGUCUAAUACUGACGCUGAUGCGCGAAAGCGUGGGGAGCAAACAG